AUCCGGUUGACUAGUCCCAAAUAGGACGGAACGCGCGUCCUGGAU
Non-coding RNA from Schistosoma rodhaini, 45 nucleotides. The record is from Rfam. Lineage: Eukaryota; Metazoa; Platyhelminthes; Trematoda; Strigeidida; Schistosomatidae.